RNAcentral lists this ribosomal RNA (253 nucleotides) under uncultured bacterium. Its description in RNAcentral is "partial 16S ribosomal RNA". It matches the Rfam family "Bacterial small subunit ribosomal RNA", at positions 524 to 776 of the family's 1533-position model. The record is from RNAcentral.
UACGUAGGGUGCGAGCGUUCAUCGGAAUUACUGGGCGUAAAGUGUGCGCAGGCGGCAGAGCAAGUCGAGUGUGAAAGCCCCGGGCUUAACUUGGGAAUUGCGCUCGAAACUACUUUGCUGGAGUGUGGCAGAGGAAGGUGGAAUUCCACGUGUAGCGGUGAAAUGCGUAGAGAUGUGGAGGAACACCAAUGGCGAAGGCAGCCUUCUGGGCCAACACUGACGCUCAUGCACGAAAGCGUGGGGAGCAAACAGG